GGGAGGGGAGGGGGAGGGGGAGGGGAGGGGAAGGGGGGAAGUAAGGGAAGGGAAAGGAGGAGAAGGGGGCUGUUGGGAUCCGGUUCAAAUUAAGUUCUCAAGCGCUGGUGGAAGGUUUAGCUACAGGUCACGGAGAAGAUCAGGGAAGCAACAGGACACGUGGGGCAAGGGAGCGUGAGGCUUAGGAGCAAUUAGAGGGAGACAAAAAGGUUCUGCUAUCCACCAAACCUUCUUCGGUCUGGGCCCUCCCUUAGCAACCCUGGGGCUUUAUACUCC
This 276-nucleotide long non-coding RNA is filed under the name Homo sapiens (human). Its description in RNAcentral is "non-protein coding lnc-CLEC18B-1:1". The record is from RNAcentral. Lineage: Eukaryota; Metazoa; Chordata; Mammalia; Primates; Hominidae.